This 371-nucleotide ribosomal RNA is filed under the name uncultured bacterium. Its description in RNAcentral is "bacterial SSU rRNA". It matches the Rfam family "Bacterial small subunit ribosomal RNA", at positions 527 to 896 of the family's 1533-position model. The record is from RNAcentral.
GAACCGUCCAAACGUUAUUCGGAUUUAUUGGGCUUAAAGGGUAUGUAGGCGGCGCUAUUAGUCGGGUGUGAAAUCCCUCGGCUCAACCGAGGAACUGCGCCCGAUACUGUGGUGCUUGAGGGAGACAGAGGUAAGCGGAACUGAUGGUGGAGUGGUGAAAUGCGUUGAUAUCAUCAGGAACACCAGUGGCGAAAGCGGCUUACUGGGUCUCUUCUGACGCUGAGAUACGAAAGCUAGGGGAGCGAACGGGAUUAGAUACCCCGGUAGUCCUAGCUGUAAACGAUGAGCACUUGAUCGUGGGGCCCCCCAUAGCCUCUCGGUCGCAGCGAAAGCGGUAAGUGCUCCGCCUGGGGAGUAUGGUCGCAAGGCUG